GCCGGAGUGGCGGAACUGGAAGACGCGCGGGACUCAAAAUCCCGUGGCACCUGUGCCGUGUGGGUUCGAUCCCCACCUCCGGCACCA
RNAcentral lists this transfer RNA (87 nucleotides) under Deltaproteobacteria bacterium. RNAcentral's name for it is "tRNA-Leu". It matches the Rfam family "tRNA". From Rfam's summary of the family: Transfer RNA (tRNA) molecules are approximately 80 nucleotides in length. Their secondary structure includes four short double-helical elements and three loops (D, anti-codon, and T loops). The record is from RNAcentral. Lineage: Bacteria; Pseudomonadati; Myxococcota; Myxococcia.